AUUAAGCCUCUUUUCUUACAAAUUACCCAGCCUUGGGUAUUUCUUUAUAGCCAUGUGAGAAUGGCCUAACACACGUGGUGAGAGAAGUCUGUGUGGGGGUGUCGGGAGGCUAGGAAGAGUGGCACCACCAGAUGGCUCAGGGUCAGGUGCGUCCUGGGAGGUCCUGAGCCAUCUAUGGAGUCAGUGAUGGAAGCCACGGAGGAAAGGAAAGGUCAGAGUGAGCCCGCAGAGGGAGAGCCUCUUCAUGACGGUCCGUGAGAUGGAGGUCUAAGGAACCAAGUGCUCCGCCUGAACGAGGAUGACCUGGAGAGGUCUGUCGCCUGAAUGAGAGUCACUGAGUUUACACUGCAGGAGAGCUGCUCCCAAGACCAAGGCCCUGCGAUUCCCAGAGGCCGUCGGACCGCGGCAUCCCUUGGUGUGCACAGUGGGCGUGGAGAAGGACCCAGAGUCUGGAGCCUACAUCCUGGAGGACUGUGUAUCUUGGGAGGGGCCGGGGCUUGUUUAUACUUUCAUUGUUUGACUUGCUGCAUGCUUAAUGGUAGUUUCCUGAACAAGGUCCUGUUUCACCCCAAGGGCCCUGAACUUUAGGACGCUGACUGUGUCAAAGCAAGGUUAAACACAAACAAGCCGCAAGAAAAGGAAAGUCAAAACCAGAGGCACUGGAGGGAUCACAACAAAAAGCACCUUGAGAAGCACCGCGCCUACAAGACAGCAGCGCAGCAUGGCCGGCUCCCUGCCUCAAGCACCAGACACACUAACCCAGGUUCCGAGAGGGGGCAGGUCAACCCUGGAUAAAAUAAACUCCAGGAGGCCGGGCACAGUGGCUCACGCCUGUAAUCCCAGCACUUUGGAAGGCCGAGGCGGGCAGAUCACUUGAGGUCAGGAGUUCAAGACCAGCCUGGCCAACAUGGUGAAACCCCGUCUCUACUAAAAUAUGAAAAUUAACCAGGCAUCCCAUCUGCCGGAGGAGUCCAGUUGAGUGGGACAACAGUGGUGUGUACCAGGGGAGUACACAGAAGGUCAGGGCUCAAAUUCCAGUCCUGCGGCGCACCAGCACCGUGAUCGUGAAAGCGGCACCAGUCCCGUGAUCGUGAACCCCGCACCAGCUCCGUGAUCGUGAACCCCACAUGAGCUCCGUGAUCGUGAACGAGACACCAGCCCCGUGAUCGUGAACCCUGCACCAUUUCCGUGAUCCUGAACGCGGCACCAGCUCCGUGAUCGUGCUAAAUGGCAUAGUAAUUCUGGCCAACCAUGAUGAAAUUUGAAUGAUUUAUUAGACUAGUCAAAACUGCCAGAUUGGCCACUUUUAAUUGGCCAUUUUUCACCAUUUAAACACACCCAGGUCUAGUCCAAUGGCAAAUGCGGUGAGUCACCUAAUCCCAGUCUGUGUGAUGGAAAGUGGAUGUCAGCCCGUGGAGACAGUAGCUCAGUUUUCUGCUUAUGAUGUUGACUGCACCCAGUCUACAGGGGAAGAGCAAGUCGUGCCCACCCCUGCCCCUUCUGAGAAGAGGGCCCCACAAAGCUUCCCUCUGCUUAGGGAGGGGAGUCAGGAAAUGGCCCAUCACUCCUUGGUGUCUUGUCCUGGUGUGGACACCUCCUCCCUGCAGGAAACGUCCUGCCCCAAAAGGGUGACACUUCUGUUAAGUACCAAGUAUCACUGACUCCAGCGUGCAGUUGCAGGGUGGGAAACAGGAAGCUGCACCCCCCAAAAUGGAACAGCCCAACGGGUUCACCUUGCCCACUGCCAAAUUAUCAAGACGGAUAAUUGCAGUCGAGAAAGAGUAAUUUAUGCAGAGCUGGCUGUGCGAAGACUGGAGUUUUAUUACUCAAAUCGGUCUCCCUGAAAACUCGAGGAUCAGAGAUUGUAAGGAUAAUUUGGUGAGCAGGGGCUCGGGAAGUGGAGUGUUGAUUGGUCGGGUUGGAGAUGGAAUCAGAGGGGGUUGAAGUGGGUUUUUGUUGCUAUCUUCUGUUCCUGGGGGGAUCGCAGAACUGGCUGAGCCAAAUACCAGUCUGGUCGGUCAGCUGGUACAUCAGAAUGCAGGGUCUGCAAUAUCUCAAGCACUGAUCCUAGGUUUUACAGCAGUGAUGUUAUUCCCAGGAGCAAUGUGGGGAGGUGUAGAAUCUUGCAGCCUCCAGCUGCAUGGUUCCUAAAUCAUAAUUCUAAUCUUGUGGCUAAUGUGUUAGUCCCCAGGCAGGAAGGGGGUUUGUUUUGGGAAAGGACUGUUAUCAUCUCUGUUUCAAAGCUAAACCAUAAACUAAGUUCCUCCCAGAGUUAAUCUGGCCUACGGCCAGGAAUGAACAAGGACAGCUUGGAGGUUAGAAGCAAGAUGCAGUCAGUUAGGUCAAAUCUCUUUCACUGUAAUAAUUGUCUCAGUUAUAAUCUUUGCAAAGGUGGUUUUAAAAAUAUUGCUCCAGGACCCCAAAUGUCUGAAGAAUUGGCCUUAGCACGUUACUGUAUUAUCAAUAUUUUGCCAGUCAGCAGACAACAAAAAGGGGAGAGGAAGUCUGGAUUGUCCAUCUUGGGUGGUGUUAGUGUUGGUGUUGGUAGUGAUGGUGGUGGAAGUGGAGGUGAUGGUAGGAGUGAUUGUUACAGUGGUGUUGAUGUUGAGGGUGUCAGUGUUGGUGGUGGAAUGGUGGUGAUCAUGGUGGCAGUGAUGGGGGUGGCAAUAGUGGUGGUUAGGGGUGAUGGUGGUAAUCACGGUGACUAUGGCAUUGGUGGUGGUAGAAAAGGUGAUGCUGGAGGUCGUGGUGGUGGUAUUGAUAUUGGCAGUGUUAGUUGUGGUUAUUGUGGUGCUGCUGAAGGUGAUCAGAGAUGGCGACAGUGAUAGUGGCAAUGGUGAUUGUGAUGGUGGUGGUAUUGACAUUGGCAGUAUUGCUGAUGGUGAUGCUGGUGGUGAUGAUGGUAGAGACGAUGGUGAUUUCGAUGGUGGAUGUGUUGAUGAAGGUGGUGAUUGUUGUGGUGCUGGUACUGAUAUUGAUAUUGACAGUAAUCCUGAUGGUGGUACUGACGGUGAUGGGAAAAGUGGUGGUGAUUUUGACAGUGGAUGUGUUGUUGAGGAAAGUGGUGAUUGAUAUGGUGAUGGUAGUAGUUAUUGUGGUGGUGCUGGAGGGUGGUGGCAGAGAUGAUGUUAAAGGUGGUGAUGGUAAUGGUGGUGAAGCUGGUGGUGACAGAGAUAGUCAUGGUGUCAGUGGUGGAGCUGGUGGUGAUGGAAGGGGUUGUGGUGGUUGAUAUGGUUUGGAUGUGUGUCCCCACCUAAAUCUCAUGUGGAAUUGAAAUCCCGUGUUGGAGGUGGGGACUGGUGGGAGGUAAUUGAAUCAUGGGGGUAGAUUUCCCCCUUUGGUGCUGUUCUCAUGGUAGAGUUCUCACGAGAUCUGGUUAAAAGUGUGUAGCACCUCCUGCUUCUCUCUCUCUUUCUCCUGCUCUGGCCAUGUAAGAUGUGCUUGCUUUCCCUUCACCUUCCACCACAAUUGUAAAUUUCUUGAGGCCUCUCCAGCCAUAUUUCCUGUACAGCCUACAGAA
Molecule: non-coding RNA, 3520 nt
Organism: Macaca mulatta (Rhesus monkey)
Lineage: Eukaryota; Metazoa; Chordata; Mammalia; Primates; Cercopithecidae
Source: RefSeq, a predicted model, not a curated record